UUUUCUAUUUUGGUGCGGUGUUUAUUGUAUUCAAAUUGAUAGAUUAAUUUAAAAUUAAUUAUAUUUAAUCAAUGACUUUGACGUCUUCAAUGUUGUAGACAAAGAGAUAUGAAUAUUUCAAAUAUUUUAAUUUUGUUAUAUUUAUAGAUUUUAUCAUAUUUGUAAACAUUUUAAUUUUAUAUAAUAUUAAUGUCACUGUUGUGAAUGUUGUGAAUAUGUUCACAUAUUUAUCUUUUUUUUCAUUUAUAGUCAUUUUGAA
RNAcentral lists this long non-coding RNA (259 nucleotides) under Lathyrus oleraceus (garden pea). RNAcentral's name for it is "Pisum sativum (pea) long non-coding RNA (PSAT_LNC024470)". Lineage: Eukaryota; Viridiplantae; Streptophyta; Magnoliopsida; Fabales; Fabaceae. The record is from RNAcentral.